Molecule: ribosomal RNA, 640 nt
Filed under: uncultured bacterium
Lineage: Bacteria
Description: bacterial SSU rRNA
Rfam family: Bacterial small subunit ribosomal RNA (bases 1-557)
Source: RNAcentral
CCUACGGGAGGCAGCAGUGGGGAAUUUUGGACAAUGGGGGCAACCCUGAUCCAGCCAUUCCGCGUGAGUGAAGAAGGCCUUCGGGUUGUAAAGCUCUUUUGUCGGGGACGAAACGGUUACGAUUAAUACUCGUGACAACUGACGGUACCCGAAGAAUAAGCACCGGCUAACUACGUGCCAGCAGCCGCGGUAAUACGUAGGGUGCGAGCGUUAAUCGGAAUUACUGGGCGUAAAGCGUGCGCAGGCGGUUUUGUAAGCCAGAUGUGAAAUCCCCGGGCUUAACCUGGGAAUGGCAUUUGGGACUGCAAGGCUAGAGUAUGGCAGAGGAGACUAGAAUUUCUGGUGUAGCAGUGAAAUGCGUAGAUAUCAGAAGGAAUACCGAUGGCGAAGGCAGGUCUCUGGGUCAAUACUGACGCUCAUGCACGAAAGCUGGGGAGCAAACAGGAUUUAGAUACCCUGGUAGUCCCACGACCUAACGACUAGUCACUAGUUGUUGGUAGUAGUUAUUACUUCUUAGUUAACGUAAGACGUAACGUACGUGAGUUAGUACCGCCGUCGGGAGGUACGGUCGCGAGAAGUUAAACGUAACGAAAGAAGUAGACGGCGUGAGACGUGCCGACGACGACGACGAGGGAGGAGG